This 253-nucleotide unclassified non-coding RNA is filed under the name uncultured Caryophanales bacterium. Its description in RNAcentral is "uncultured Bacillales bacterium contains 16S-23S intergenic spacer region". It matches the Rfam family "Bacterial small subunit ribosomal RNA", at positions 524 to 776 of the family's 1533-position model. Lineage: Bacteria; Bacillati; Bacillota; Bacilli; Caryophanales. The record is from RNAcentral.
UACGUAGGUGGCAAGUGUUGUCCGGAGUUAUUGGGCGUAAAGCGCGCGCAGGCGGUUCUUUAAGUCUGAUGUGAAAGCCCGCGGCUCAACAGUGGAGGGUCAUUGGAAACUGGGGAACUUGAGUGCAGAAGAGGAAAGUGGAAUUCCACGUGUAGCGGUGAAAUGCGUAGAGAUGUGGAGGAACACCAGUGGCGAAGGCGUCUUUCUGGUCUGUAACUGACGCUGAGGCGCGAAGGCGUGGGGAGCAAACAGG